GGGUGAGUAACACGUAGGGAACCUGCCCGCGCACCGGGAAUACGCUCUGGAAACGGAGAACAAAUCCCGAUGUACAGGAAGGAGGCAUCUUCUUUCUGUGAAACAUCCUUUAGGGGAUGGGGCGCGGAUGGACCUGCGGUGCAUUAGUUGGUUGGUGGGGUAAAGGCCCACCAAGACGAUGAUGCAUAGCCGGCCUGAGAGGGCGGACGGCCACAUUGGGACUGAGACACGGCCCAGACUCCUGCGGGAGGCAGCAGUAGGGAAUUUUCGUCAAUGGGCGCAAGCCUGAACGAGCGAUGCCGCGUGAGUGAAGAAGGCCUUCGGGUCGUAAAGCUCUGUUGCGGGGGAAAAAAGGCAGCAUCAGGAAAUGGGUGCUGACUGAUGGUGCCCCGCCAGAAAGUCACGGCUAACUACGUGCCAGCAGCCGCGGUAAUACGUAGGUGGCGAGCGUUAUUCGGAAUGAUUGGGCGUAAAGGGUGCGCAGGCGGUCCUGCAAGUCUGGAGUGAAACGCAUGAGCUCAACUCAUGCAUGGCUUUGGAAACUGGAGGACUGGAGAGCAGGAGAGGGCGGUGGAACUCCAUGUGUAGCGGUAAAAUGCGUAGAUAUAUGGAAGAACACCAGUGGCGAAGGCGGCCGCCUGGCCUGUUGCUGACGCUGAGGCACGAAAGCGUGGGGAGCAAAUAGGAUUAGAUACCCUAGUAGUCCACGCCGUAAACGAUG
This 721-nucleotide ribosomal RNA is filed under the name uncultured bacterium. Its description in RNAcentral is "bacterial SSU rRNA". It matches the Rfam family "Bacterial small subunit ribosomal RNA", at positions 104 to 811 of the family's 1533-position model. The record is from RNAcentral.